Molecule: ribosomal RNA, 466 nt
Filed under: uncultured bacterium
Lineage: Bacteria
Description: partial 16S ribosomal RNA
Rfam family: Bacterial small subunit ribosomal RNA
Source: RNAcentral
GAUGAACGCUGGCGGCGUGCUUAACACAUGCAAGUCGAACGAUGAAGCCCAGCUUGCUGGGUGGAUUAGUGGCGAACGGGUGAGUAACACGUGAGUAACCUGCCCUUAACUCUGGGAUAAGCCUGGGAAACUGGGUCUAAUACCGGAUAGGAGCGUCCACCGCAUGGUGGGUGUUGGAAAGAUUUAUCGGUUUUGGAUGGACUCGCGGCCUAUCAGCUUGUUGGUGAGGUAAUGGCUCACCAAGGCGACGACGGGUAGCCGGCCUGAGAGGGUGACCGGCCACACGGGGACUGAGAAACGGCCCCGACGCCUACGGGCGGCAACAGUGGGGAAUAUUGCACACUGGGCGCAAGCCUGAUGCAGCGACGACGCGUGAGGGAUGACGGCCUUCGGGUUGUAAACCUCUUUCAGUAGGGAAGAAGCGAAAGUGACGGUACCUGCCGAAGAAGCACCGGCUAACUACGUG